AGAAUGUAAUAACCCCUUCCACCAAGCCACGCCUCGAAAAUUACCUUAGUCUUCCAACAUGAUGAUUUGGGGAAGAAUCUUGCCUGCGCAAACCAUUCUUUCAAUAAUUUUUGAAAGAAUGAUAUGCUAGGUUGUGUUAAAUAAUCACCUCUAUACUUCAUACGUCCCGAAAGAAACUUACAAGUAAUCCAAACAGUAUAAAUACUUUCUUCAUUCUCCCUAGUCUUUUGUUCUGUAUCGAUAUAAGAGAUACUCGAGACAAAACGGAGAGGAAAGCAGUUCCAAUAGCCCAGAAGUAUUGCAAAGGAGUAAAAUUGACCAAUAUCUGAUUUGUAAUUAUUUUCAAAGAAGAGAAAUUUCAGCUACGCUAGACAUGGUAAUUAAACAUUCGACAUCAGAAGUGAAACACGUUAAUUGUGAAACUUCCUGUUCUUCCGUACAUCAGACAAUAUGUCCUAUAUGGAUAAUACGAAUGUCCGACCAUCAACCAGAAUAGACAACGAAAACAUUUUCCUCUUUAGUCUUAUAUUUAAAUAGUAAAUCAAUCAAUGUUGUAUUUAUCAAAUGAUUUUACGAUGCAGACGAGAUUACCUCUAUUAAUGAGUGGGACAUUAGCUAUUCUAAAGAUAUUGUAUUAUGGCAUAUAAGUCAAGAACCCAUAUAUUUUUCAACUAUUAUAAUUAAGAAUAUUAGAUAUAUGAAGCAAGAUGCUCGAUGAAGAAGAGGAGAUCGUAAAAAGGGCGGAGGACGCUGAUGCUACUUACGAAUUUAUUACAAAUCUUGCGAAUAAUCUGAAACCCAAGUUGGUGAGAGAGAAAGCUAAUUAUCUGAUGUCUGAAAGCAACAUGUUGCUAAUGCUAGAGCAUUAUUAUAACAAUCAUUGACUUCAAUAUUGAAUUUUAAUAAAUGAGCGCAUUGGAUCGUGAAAGCAAAAGAGUGGUUCAAGAAACAAUUGAAAAUUCUAACCAAGGAAGGAACAUCGUUAGCUAUUGUUCAUGUAUGCAUUAUGUGAUUGGGAAUACCUAGGAAGAGGAAAAAAAAGAAAAAACAUUUGUGCUUAACGACGAAGUUUUGAAAGACCAAUAUGGCGUAGUUUUAUAAAGUUUGGAACAAUGGUACGAGGAAAUGGGAGAGAUUUACCUUUUUCAAAGCAUUCAACCGCUAAGCGGCUUUAGCUGGAGGGUAUAAGCGAUUAUGCUGAGAAGGAUUUGUCGACGAGCCGUCCGACGUUCCAUGCGGAGCAAAGGUUAAAGGGAAAUUAACAUGAAACUGAGGGAGGUUUAUCAUACAAAAUAAUUUAACUAACAGGGACGAUGAAAAGAUUCACCGUUUUUGGAAGUAAUAACGUUAGCAGGGGAAUAUUAUUUUAAAUUAUACGGGAAAUACAAAGUCCACUUUCACGUCAUCGUUAUUCCAUCGAUUUAAAUUAAGUAACCAUUCGAUAUAAUUAAAAAGGGAGAAGUGUUGAAUUCUAUAUUUCAAAUUCUAUAUUUAAAAUUGCAAUAAUAUUCACAUGUACUUAAAAAAUAUUGGUAAUAUUUAAUUAGCGUUUUUCUUAAAUAUCAAAAUUUGGAUGAAUUAAUUUGAUGCAUAGCGCGAAUUACCCAUUUAAUAUGUUUUGAAAGGAAUUUCGUGAUUGGGUAUGUGCGUAAUACGUUCUCCCAUAUUUAUCGUCAAGUACCUUCGUUUUAAACCUUUCAUUAUUAUCUCUCUCCAUCUACGUAUGCUCGCGUGUGCGCCUAUCCGCGCCAGGUCGAGUGGCUGGAAUGGUGUGUGCGGGUGUACGUACAACUCCUGUAUUGAUUUGAUAAUAAGGAAAGUAUUUUUUCAUUCAUUUUCCUGUCAUCAAACCCAGCAGAUAAUUGGAGAUUAGCUCUAUAAUUCAAUUACCUACUAAGAUUCGUCGUUUGAAAACCCGGUUACUUAUUUUGCAGAGCAAUGGUCUAUUUUCUUAGGAAUCAAUUGAUUUGGAACAUAUUAUACGAAAUAUUAUAUAAUUAGAAGUAUAAUAGUAUUAUUGUUUUGCAUUCUUCAAUAGGGAGUAACUUUCUAGAAAAAUUUACCCGUUCAUAUGAAAGAAUGAAAUCAGUUGUGGUAUAUCGAUUUGCAAAAGACUUAAAUUAAAUCAUACAGCUAAAUAGAUAAUUGAAUUAUACCGCUAAUCGUAUUAUCGCAUUAUCUGCUUGGUUUGAUAAGAGGAAAACUAAUGAAAAAAUACCUUUCUUGUUUUCAAACUAAAAGAGAAGAUGGACGCAAACACGCGCACUCCUUUCCGCCCACUUGACUGUAGCACGUAAGCGCGCAUGUGCACGGAGAGAGGUAGUAAUAAAAUAAUGAUGCUUGUUGGUAGGUACGAGAGGAGGUAUUUCUCAACGAGCAAAUCGUUAAAUGCCGAUCAAUACCCGUUAACAAGGGAAUUUGUAGACCCAUGUCUACAAAUAUUUUUGCGUAAAAAUAUUUUUCAAAAAUAUUUUUCAUAUAUUUUUGCAAAAAUCAAAAUUUUGUUCAAUAUAAUUUUCUAUGAUGUCUAUGAUAAAUGUUGAAUCAAUUCUUUUCCAACAUUAUCAUCCCUUGCAUUAUGUAUAAGGUCUUUCCGUUUUUUUCUUAGAUGACAUCACUAUUACUACUGUUGUUUCCUUCCCGAUUAAUAUUUAUUUUUUCUAACAUAUCUGUAUUAAUGUUUCUCUUUAAUCCAAACUUCCCCUUCGAUAUUACUUAUGACACGAAACUUACUCGUGUUUGGAAAUUUUGCCAUUCUCUUAAUGAAAAAGAAAUAAGUAAUUAAAAGCGUUGGUAGUCUCAAAUUGUAUAUUACGAAAUCGCGAAACGAUAUAUACCAAAAGAAUUUUACGUUUCUGAUUUUGUGGCUUACUAGUUUGGGGAACUAUCUAUUUCAUUAGAAGUUUCAAUACGAACUGAGUUCAGCUUCGAAAAUCUCUCCUCAGUUUCAUGAUUGCUUGUUUACUCCAUCAAAUAUUACUGCAUCGUACGAGGCGUACUCGCGUACCAUUGCAGACAAGUCCUUAUCAAUCCCUUUAAGUGGUUCAGAGAAGCUCUCAGAUCGUUGUGAGUGUACUUCUUUUCCGUAAAAUCGAUUGAUAUUCUUUUCAUAUAACUUGGUAAUUUGACCUUUUCUUGAUUAACUAACUGAUGGGUUCUCUCGGAGGGGAAAUACGGAAAAGAGAAGAAGGUAAUAUUAGGAAACCAUAAAUGUGACGAAAGAUUUUCUCCGAAUACGUUUUUUAUUAUUGUGCAAUAGGGAAAAUACCAUCUUCGAUAACUUGAGCAAUAUGCAUUUGUUUACAAGAAAAGAAGGUAAUAUUUGGAGAAAAUGUUUUCAAGCAAUAUGGCAGUAGAUAUAAAUUCCGACGAAAAAGUUUUUUUACGACGGAAGAUUUCACAAUAAGAAUUGCAUAGUAUUUACUUAGUACGAAAAUUGAUAGUGAUAUCAUUAGUAUGUAAUAAUGUUAGAAUACUAUCUUUAAGUAUAAGUUGGACUUACGAAAGAAGUAACAUUACGAAUUUUCGAUUAAUUUCAUAGCAAUUAGUCUUGAUAAUUACAAUAAUUAUAAAUAAUAAUUAAUUAUAUCAUAAAUAAUUACAGAUUUACGUGAUUAUUUCAAUUAAAAAGGAGAUGAAUAAUUGUUAAUUUCAUUAGAAGAUUUCCAGAUUUAUGAGAUAAUUUCUCGUAUACAUAGAGGAAAUAAAAAUAUAAAUACAUAAAUAGAAGAAAUUAUUUCUAGCUGUUUAGUAGUAUAGAAAGUAUUUCUAGCUGCGAGAAAUUAGUUCUAGCUAGAGAUCUAAAAUCUAGGAAACUUGGUCCUCUAAUGGGAGGACUCGAUUAAUUUCGAGAAGGAAAGUCAUUCCUUCGGUGGUUUUCGAACCAGUAACGUGCAAGCGACUGCCGUACGCAAAAUAAUCCCUAUCCGUAUACCUCGUACAUCUCAAAGAAUACUUUUACAAAUAAUUCAAACGACGAAAACAAUUUCAUCAUUCACACUAGUCAUUCGUUUAUUCCAUUAAUAUGUUUAAAAUUUAGCAGUACUUAUUAGUAUAAGAUUUAUUGUAAAAUUUCAUUUCUAUAUAUUGGAAUUGAAAAUGAUUUUCUUGAUUCAUAUCAUUUUAAUUAUUAUUUUGUUGCGUUUCGGAAAAGUUGCUGUAACAUUUAAAAAGCAUUAUCUGAUUUAUUUUCGGUAAUUAUACAAUUGAAAUGAACGAAUGACUUAGUUAAGUCUUAUUUAAAUAUUGACCUAUUUUAGAGAUACACGAAACGAAUUAAAGGCGAAAGCAAUUCCAAUAACUGAAAAUGACAGCAAAGAAGCUGAAUUAACCGAUAUUUUAAAUAUAAUACGUCCACGGAAAAUACGGUUUUUCGCGUACGCUUGGCGUAAUAAUCAAAUAUUCAACGAUCCAAGUGGAACAUAUUUAAAUUUGUUUUUUCGUUGAUCCUCAUCCAAUAAUACGUCCUACAAAGACAGUAUAAAUGUACGACUGUCAAACAAAUAUAAUCCGGAAAACGUUUUUCUUUUUAGUCUUACAUUUAAUGCUAAUCUCAUAUUGCUGUGUAUUGUGAUACGUAUUAUGAAUUUGAGGUCACAUUAAGCGUCGUAGUAUGUGUAUACAAAUGUAGUAUUGUAGUUAACCGAAAUAAGCUUCCAUAUUAUCCGUAUUUAAGGAGUAUAUACCAGUACGUAUUUGAAUUUAUAAAAAAAUGUUCGUUCUUUACUAAUUCGAUAUAUCAAGAUAAAUUUAAAUUCACAAAAAAUUUACUUCAAUGUAUAUUUUCUUUGAAGAAAUUAAUCUCUAUGAGAAAAUCGGCAACUUUCAUUUCCGUUUAAAGUUCUGCGUCCUACAUAGACUUACUUAGCGAAAUUGUAAUCCAAUCUAGUUUCCAAUAAAUGAAUAUAUCAAUGCAGCAUACGAAAA
Molecule: long non-coding RNA, 4926 nt
Organism: Vespula vulgaris
Lineage: Eukaryota; Metazoa; Arthropoda; Insecta; Hymenoptera; Vespidae
Exons: 5
Source: RefSeq, a predicted model, not a curated record